RNAcentral lists this long non-coding RNA (541 nucleotides) under Triticum aestivum (bread wheat). RNAcentral's name for it is "long non-coding RNA (TAES_LNC008123)". The record is from RNAcentral. Lineage: Eukaryota; Viridiplantae; Streptophyta; Magnoliopsida; Poales; Poaceae.
AUUUACCUCACCAGUUCACAAAUCAUUACCUGGUUCUAGAUUUCGCAAUCAUUCAGUGGAAACACGGUCAAUAGAGAGCAUGAACUCAGCACCAACUUCAAGCAGUACAUCGAAUACUAAACCUGAUGACAUAGAUGGUGAUUAUUUGGGAAUUCUUCUGGAGCAGAAAUUGAGAGAAUUGACCUCUCGGGUAAAGUCACCCUAUUCUAAGCCAGCCAAUGGGGUUCGAGUAUACGCCCCUUCACCAGGUUCGGAAGAUACAUCUAGCAUUGCAUCUACUGAGUAUGAUAGGGAGUCGUCUCAGCCUUUCAAGAACGGAAAAAACAAAUUCCACCAGAACGAUCUUGAAUCCAAACACGGUCAAUAGAGAGCAUGAACUCAGCACCAACUUCAAGCAGUACAUCGAAUACUAAACCUGAUGACAUAGAUGGUGAUUAUUUGGGAAUUCUUCUGGAGCAGAAAUUGAGAGAAUUGACCUCUCGGGUAAAGUCACCCUAUUCUAAGCCAGCCAAUGGGGUUCGAGUAUACGCCCCUUCACCAG